RNAcentral lists this long non-coding RNA (2111 nucleotides) under Homo sapiens (human). RNAcentral's name for it is "long intergenic non-protein coding RNA 665". The record is from RNAcentral. Lineage: Eukaryota; Metazoa; Chordata; Mammalia; Primates; Hominidae.
GGCGCAAGGUUGGUCUGCAGGUGGCCUCCAGGUGCAAAGUGGGAAGUGUGAGUCCUCAGUCUUGGGCUAUUCGGCCACGUGCCUGCCGGACAUGGGACGCUGGAGGGUCAGCAGCGUGGAGUCCUGGCCUUUUGCGUCCACGGGUGGGAAAUUGGCCAUUGCCACGGCGGGAACUGGGACUCAGGCUGCCCCCCGGCCGUUUCUCAUCCGUCCACCGGACUCGUGGGCGCUCGCACUGGCGCUGAUGUAGUUUCCUGACCUCUGACCCGUAUUGUCUCCAGAUUAAAGGUACGACAUUUGGAGGCCCCAGCGAGAAACGUCACCGGGAGAAACGUCACCGGGCGAGAGCCGGGCCCGCUGUGUGCUCCCCCGGAAGGACAGCCAGCUUGUAGGGGGGAGUGCCACCUGAAAAAAAAAUUUCCAGGUCCCCAAAGGGUGACCGUCUUCCGGAGGACAGCGGAUCGACUACCAUGUGGGUGCCCACAAAAAUUCCACCUCUGAGUCCUCAACUGCUGACCCCGGGGUCAGGAACUGUUGGAAACUACUGAAACUGGCCGACCUGAUCUUCAAAAUGUGCCCCUAGGAAAGGUGGAUGCCACCGUGUUCACAGACAGUAGCAGCUUCCUCGAGAAGGGACUACGAAAGGCCGGUGCAGCUGUUACCAUGGAGACAGAUGUGUUGUGGGCUCAGGCUUUACCAGCAAACACCUCAGCACAAAAGGCUGAAUUGAUCGCCCUCACUCAGGCUCUCCGAUGGGGUAAGGAUAUUAACGUUAACACUGACAGCAGGUACGCCUUUGCUACUGUGCAUGUACGUGGAGCCAUCUACCAGGAGCGUGGGCUACUCACCUCAGCAGGUGGCUGUAAUCCACUGUAAAGGACAUCAAAAGGAAAACACGGCUGUUGCCCGUGGUAACCAGAAAGCUGAUUCAGCAGCUCAAGAUGCAGUGUGACUUUCAGUCACGCCUCUAAACUUGCUGCCCACAGUCUCCUUUCCACAGCCAGAUCUGCCUGACAAUCCCGCAUACUCAACAGAAGAAGAAAACUGGCCUCAGAACUCAGAGCCAAUAAAAAUCAGGAAGGUUGGUGGAUUCUUCCUGACUCUAGAAUCUUCAUACCCCGAACUCUUGGGAAAACUUUAAUCAGUCACCUACAGUCUACCACCCAUUUAGGAGGAGCAAAGCUACCUCAGCUCCUCCGGAGCCGUUUUAAGAUCCCCCAUCUUCAAAGCCUAACAGAUCAAGCAGCUCUCCGGUGCACAACCUGCGCCCAGUUCCAGAGAGAAGGACUCCCUCCUGCUUGGAAGAGACCUCACACCGUCAUCACGAUGCCAACGGCUCUGAAGGUGGAUGGCAUUCCUGCGUGGAUUCAUCACUCCCGCAUCAAAAAGGCCAACGGAGCCCAACUAGAAACAUGGGUCCCCAGGGCUGGGUCAGGCCCCUUAAAACUGCACCUAAGUUGGGUGAAGCCAUUAGAUUAAUUCUUUUUCUUAAUUUUGUAAAACAAUGCAUAGCUUCUGUCAAACUUAUGUAUCUUAAGACUCAAUAUAACCCCCUUGUUAUAACUGAGGAAUCAAUGAUUUGAUUCCCCAAAAACACAAGUGGGGAAUGUAGUGUCCAACCUGGUUUUUACUAACCCUGUUUUUAGACUCUCCCUUUCCUUUAAUCACUCAGCCUUGUUUCCACCUGAAUUGACUCUCCCUUAGCUAAGAGCGCCAGAUGGACUCCAUCUUGGCUCUUUCACUGGCAGCCGCUUCCUCAAGGACUUAACUUGUGCAAGCUGACUCCCAGCACAUCCAAGAAUGCAAUUAACUGAUAAGAUACUGUGGCAAGCUAUAUCCGCAGUUCCCAGGAAUUCGUCCAAUUGAUUACACCCAAAAGCCCCGCGUCUAUCACCUUGUAAUAAUCUUAAAGCCCCUGCACCUGGAACUAUUAACGUUCCUGUAACCAUUUAUCCUUUUAACUUUUUUGCCUACUUUAUUUCUGUAAAAUUGUUUUAACUAGACCCCCCCUCUCCUUUCUAAACCAAAGUAUAAAAGCAAAUCUAGCCCCUUCUUCAGGCCGAGAGAAUUUCGAGCGUUAGCCGUCUCUUGGCCACCAGCUAAAUAAACGG